Molecule: ribosomal RNA, 497 nt
Filed under: uncultured bacterium
Lineage: Bacteria
Description: partial 16S ribosomal RNA
Rfam family: Bacterial small subunit ribosomal RNA
Source: RNAcentral
GAUGAACGCUGGCGGCGUGCCUAAUACAUGCAAGUCGAGCGAACGGACGAGAAGCUUGCUUCUCUGAUGUUAGCGGCGGACGGGUGAGUAACACGUGGAUAACCUACCUAUAAGACUGGGAUAACUUCGGGAAACCGGAGCUAAUACCGGAUAAUAUUUUGAACCGCAUGGUUCAAAAGUGAAAGACGGUCUUGCUGUCACUUAUAGAUGGAUCCUCGCUGCAUUAGCUAGUUGGUAAGGUAACGGCUUACCAAGGCAACGAUGCAUAGCCGACCUGAGAGGGUGAUCAGCCACACUGGAACUGAGACACGGUCCAGACUCCUACGGGAGGCAGCAGUAGGGAAUCUUCCGCAAUGGGCGAAAGCCUGACGGAGCAACGCCGCGUGAGUGAUGAAGGUCUUCGGAUCGUAAAACUCUGUUAUUAGGGAAGAACAUAUGUGUAAGUAACUGUGCACAUCUUGACGGUACCUAAUCAGAAAGCCACGGCUAACUACGUG